GUGCUCACUUUGGCAGCACAUAUACUAAAGUUGGAACAAUACAGAAAAGAUUAGCAUGGACCCUGCUCAAGGAUGACAUGCAAUUUAAUGAAGCAUUCCAUAUAAAA
Jaculus jaculus (lesser Egyptian jerboa) is the source of this 107-nucleotide small nuclear RNA. The record is from Ensembl. Lineage: Eukaryota; Metazoa; Chordata; Mammalia; Rodentia; Dipodidae.